AUGCCGGAGGGGGCGACGGCGCUGGAGAUCCCCGCAGACCGCCCGGCCUUCGUCACCCGCGUGUACUUCGACGGCCCUCCGGCCGCCACCGCCGUCCGCCUGGCCUUUCCGCCGCGCACGGAGCGCCCGGACUCGAUCAAGGUGUACAUGAACUCCACCCGCAAACGCGACCCCGAGGCGGUCUACCACGCGCGGCGCUUCGCGUACGCGUACAUCACGCCGCCGGACCUGCCGCAGAACUUCGAGCUCCUCCCGGACACCUGCCACGGCGACAUGGCGGUGCGCUUCCGCACGCCCGACCACCGGGAGGCGGCCAUGCGCCGGCAGCCGUUCCUGCUGGACGGGGUCACCGUGAGGCUCGUGCGCGAGGGGGAGACGCCCAACGUCCGGCGGGUCACGCACGACUACCUCGUCCACGCGGCGCUGCGCGACUACCCCGUCGAGCAGCGCACGGAGGAGAUGAUCGGGGACAACUGCAGCGGGUUCGGGUUCGUGCGCGAGAUCGACCCGGCCUGCUUCGCGGCGCCCGACCUCUCCACCGUCCGCGUCGUCCUGCAGAACGAGCACCCUCGUGAGGUCCCCCACGAGCUCCGGAUCCUCUACGAUGAUGGCUUCACCAGCGUCGUCCCCGUCGAGAUCGUCGGGGUUUGGCACCGCUCACACUCCUGCGAUGUCAAUGGGCACUUGGGCAGUACGUGCCUCUCUUCCAGCCCCCGGUUGCCGCUGCUUGAAUUGAUGGAUUUCAAGCUCAAACAAGUUUCUGCUAAUGUUUAG
Molecule: ribosomal RNA, 774 nt
Filed under: Triticum aestivum (bread wheat)
Lineage: Eukaryota; Viridiplantae; Streptophyta; Magnoliopsida; Poales; Poaceae
Description: partial small subunit ribosomal RNA
Source: RNAcentral